This 266-nucleotide ribosomal RNA is filed under the name uncultured bacterium. RNAcentral describes it as "partial 16S ribosomal RNA". It matches the Rfam family "Bacterial small subunit ribosomal RNA", at positions 793 to 1055 of the family's 1533-position model. The record is from RNAcentral.
GUCCACGCCGUAAACGAUGGAUGCUAGCCGUUGGCCGGUUUACCGGUCAGUGGCGCAGCUAACGCAUUAAGCAUCCCGCCUGGGGAGUACGGUCGCAAGAUUAAAACUCAAAGGAAUUGACGGGGGCCCGCACAAGCGGUGGAGCAUGUGGUUAAAUUCGAAGCAACGCGCAGAACCUUACCAGCCCUUGACAUGUCCCGUAUGGGUUUCAGAGAUGAGAUCCUUCAGUUCGGCUGGCGGGAACACAGGUGCUGCAUGGCUGUCGU